This 249-nucleotide ribosomal RNA is filed under the name uncultured bacterium. RNAcentral describes it as "partial 16S ribosomal RNA". It matches the Rfam family "Bacterial small subunit ribosomal RNA", at positions 524 to 772 of the family's 1533-position model. The record is from RNAcentral.
UACGUAGGUGGCAAGCGUUGUCCGGAUUUACUGGGCGUAAAGAGCGCGCAGGCGGUCGUUCAAGUCGCGUGUGAAAGCCCCCGGCUCAACUGGGGAGGGUCACGCGAUACUGAUCGAGUCGAAGGCAGGAGAGGGAAGUGGAAUUCCCGGUGUAGUGGUGAAAUGCGUAGAUAUCUGGAGGAACACCGGUGGCGAAGGCGGCAGCCUGGACCGACACUGACGCUGAGGAGCGAAAUCCAGGGGAGCAAA